Long non-coding RNA from Ictidomys tridecemlineatus (thirteen-lined ground squirrel), 1616 nucleotides. RefSeq lists it as uncharacterized. The record is from RefSeq and is a predicted model, not a curated record. Lineage: Eukaryota; Metazoa; Chordata; Mammalia; Rodentia; Sciuridae.
CAAGCUAUUUGUCAAUGUUUGAAGGCUCCUCCACAACCACAGCCUGUAUGCUGUGAAGUGGGUCUUUGGUGAUCAUUCUUUUUCACUGAAGGCCUCUGUCUUCCAGGCGAAGACUUUGUUUGUACUCCCCAAAGGUUCCAUCUAUAAUAAUUGUGUUACCCUACCUGCCAGUGGCCAUUUCUCAAUUAUUCCAACUCAAGUAUUUGUGGUUUCCUGGAGGAGCAUGUUUCCCAUUUCUUCCCAUACACAGAUGUUUGGUUAACAAAUGCCUGUGGUUUAUUUCCUCUGCCCCAGAAUAUCAAGAGGCCAUAGAUCAGAGCAGAAAAUGAUAAUUCAAAGCCUGAGCCUGGCAUUGUUUGAAGAAUUUGUCAGUCUGGAGAGAUGCUUUAGAAUUCAGUGGCUUUUCCAAGGGAUUUCUUUGGCCUAUGCAGAUUGCAAUUCAUUUAAGAUCACUCCAGGAAGCUUUGCAGAUUUACCUAUCAGGCCACCCAGAGGACAGUGUUCAAGUCUUGAAGAGACCUGUUGGGAUAAACACAUUCACGAUAAUAGCAUGGGGACAGGACAAAAGCCACAUCAUUGUGAAAAUGCCUUCAACCUGAAACAUUCUGAUGGAACUAUGCAGGAACAAUGGACACAAACUGCCUAAUGUGAACAGGUGCUCCCAAAGACAGAGUGUGCUUCUUCUUCAACUCUGUAUCCUCCACAACUUGCCCACUUGUGGCAUGAGAAAUGUUUGUGAAAGAAUGAAUCAGGCAAUGCAAAUGUGCAUUGCUGCUUCCUGGAGCCUUGCAGCUGUCACCUGGACCUUCUUCUUACAACCUAUAGGUGGCAAUGGGAAGUUUCUCUCCGAUGCUUUGCUUUUCUUCAGAUCUGAUGGCAAUGACAGAUCAUUCAGAAGCAUGCUGUGCUUGAAAUGAAACCAAUGCAGCAACAGUGCAGAGUGGAAGAGUAACUGGUCGACCACAACGUUCUCUUGAUUCCCAGUAAGAAAUAUACUUUCCCUCUGAGAAGUCCAUCAAUUAAUAUUAACAAGGAGAAAGAGAAGGAAUAACUUUAGCAGGAAACAUUGACUCUCCCCCGGAUUCGAUUCAAGAGAUCAUCAAGGAAGGAGUCUGACUGUAACAUAUCCCUCUCUUCCUCUGAUGAGAGUGACAACCAGGGUGACUGGAACCAGAGGGCAGCCUACUCUCCUUUGGCAAACAAACACCCACUCUGAGCCAGAUGGCAUGCAGUACUUCUGAAGUUAAAUCCAGCCUUAUGACAAUGGUCAUGGCCAAUAAGGAACCACUUGGACUGAGAUGCCAAAAAUUCAGCUCUUGAUCCUGAGACCUGAUGCUGCAGAACCUAUGGGUGAAGAUACACCAGUUAAUUUAAGGUAUUACACAAAACCUCUUUAAACAUAAGGACAUUUUUCUUUUAUUUGACAUAAUAUUCUGCUUGCUAAAUAAUUUUACAAUUUUAUGAUAGUUAAGAAAUUUAAUGGCCACUGAAUCCAGGCUUCUUUCCUUUGUAUUUUUUAAAAAUCAAAGUGGAAUACUAAUUGAAAAAUAUUAAUUUUUAUUGUUAAGAGAAAAUAUUCAAUUGUAUAAGUAAAAUGUCCAAACAUAGGCUUGCCA